This 261-nucleotide long non-coding RNA is filed under the name Cucumis sativus (cucumber). RNAcentral describes it as "long non-coding RNA (CSAT_LNC000928)". Lineage: Eukaryota; Viridiplantae; Streptophyta; Magnoliopsida; Cucurbitales; Cucurbitaceae. The record is from RNAcentral.
UUUACAAAGUUAAUCACAUGAUACAAGUGAAACCACCAAGCAAAAAGGGGGAAGAUCUUUACACAUGAAAAGAAGAGGUGAAAGUGAUGGUCAAAGUAAACAUCUGAGACCUAGCUACACAGUUGUACAAUCUAUAAAAACGAUCCUGGUCGAGACGUCGAGUAAGGUCGUUCCAGAGAGCUCUUAAUAUUUCUGAACUGUUCUCUCAUUAUUAUGGAAUAUUGAACUAUCACUGCUCAAAACCAGCAACAAAGAACUUCA